AACCGAUAUCCAACAAGAACUAUGGAAUUGCGAUAAACAAAUCAACCACGUAUGCGGUAGUAGACAAGUUGAAGAAAUCGGACAAAAAGUUUACAAAAAAUGAUGAUACUUAUUCUGAUUUACCAGAUGGACAAUAUGAUCAGCUAAAUGAUAUUCAAAAAAGGAAAUUCAUAUUGGAAGAUAACUUGUACGACAGUCACGAAGAAAUACGAGAUCAAAAUGACCCUACCAAUACUAUUUCAAAUUUUAGUAGUCAUGGUAGAAGUCAUGACGUAACAGAUGUAUAUGAUCAUUCGUUUUUGGGUACACAGAAUGACGGAGAGUAUGCUUAUUCUUCAACCUACAGAAGCGAUUUAUAAAACGAAACCGAAAUAUAUGACCAGACAAUUUGAUCAUACUAAUUUAAUAAAAAGAGACUUAAGCCAAGACCAAUAGAAAA
RNAcentral lists this long non-coding RNA (439 nucleotides) under Mytilus galloprovincialis (Mediterranean mussel). The record is from RNAcentral. Lineage: Eukaryota; Metazoa; Mollusca; Bivalvia; Mytilida; Mytilidae.